RNAcentral lists this long non-coding RNA (206 nucleotides) under Mytilus galloprovincialis (Mediterranean mussel). The record is from RNAcentral. Lineage: Eukaryota; Metazoa; Mollusca; Bivalvia; Mytilida; Mytilidae.
CCAGAAAUGUCAUACCUGUUUCAAUGUUUAUUAUCGACUUAUAUUGAAUUUAAAAAAAUAAUGUUACACUAUAUAUAAAUGUAAUACAUUAAAUUAGCAAAUUUAUGUAUUUGAGAUAAAGGUGACAUAAAAUGUUGAUACAUGAAGGCUGAAUAAUCAUUUCAUACAACAAAUUACAAGAAAACUGAACUUUGACUAAUAAAUCA